UACGUAGGGGGCAAGCGUUGUCCGGAUUUAUUGGGCGUAAAGAGCGUGUAGGCGGCCAGACAGGUCCGUUGUGAAAACUCGAGGCUCAACCUCGAGACGCCGAUGGAAACCGUUUGGCUAGAGUCCGGAAGAGGAGAGUGGAAUUCCUGGUGUAGCGGUGAAAUGCGCAGAUAUCAGGAAGAACACCGAUGGCGAAGGCAGGUCUCUGGGCUGACACUGACGCUCAGGCACGAAAGCGUGGGGAGCAAACAGG
RNAcentral lists this ribosomal RNA (253 nucleotides) under uncultured bacterium. RNAcentral describes it as "partial 16S ribosomal RNA". It matches the Rfam family "Bacterial small subunit ribosomal RNA", at positions 524 to 776 of the family's 1533-position model. The record is from RNAcentral.